RNAcentral lists this ribosomal RNA (465 nucleotides) under Vreelandella stevensii. RNAcentral describes it as "partial 16S ribosomal RNA". It matches the Rfam family "Bacterial small subunit ribosomal RNA", at positions 338 to 795 of the family's 1533-position model. The record is from RNAcentral. Lineage: Bacteria; Pseudomonadati; Pseudomonadota; Gammaproteobacteria; Oceanospirillales; Halomonadaceae.
CCUACGGGCGGCUGCAGUGGGGAAUAUUGGACAAUGGGGGCAACCCUGAUCCAGCCAUGCCGCGUGUGUGAAGAAGGCCCUCGGGUUGUAAAGCACUUUCAGUGAGGAAGAACGCCUGGUGGUUAAUACCCAUCAGGAAAGACAUCACUCACAGAAGAAGCACCGGCUAACUCCGUGCCAGCAGCCGCGGUAAUACGGAGGGUGCGAGCGUUAGUCGGAAUUACUGGGCGUAAAGCGCGCGUAGGUGGCUUGAUAAGCCGGUUGUGAAAGCCCCGGGCUCAACCUGGGAACGGCAUCCGGAACUGUCAAGCUAGAGUGCAGGAGAGGAAGGUAGAAUUCCCGGUGUAGCGGUGAAAUGCGUAGAGAUCGGGAGGAAUACCAGUGGCGAAGGCGGCCUUCUGGACUGACACUGACACUGAGGUGCGAAAGCGUGGGUAGCAAACAGGAUUAGAUACCCCUGUAGUC